GAGAUGUUAGUUAAAUCAUAACCCUGCCUUGUCAAGACAUAAUUACAACCUAAAACUUGUACAUCUUU
This 68-nucleotide transfer RNA is filed under the name Synapturanus sp. QCAZ 59998. RNAcentral describes it as "tRNA-Asp". The record is from RNAcentral. Lineage: Eukaryota; Metazoa; Chordata; Amphibia; Anura; Microhylidae.